RNAcentral lists this ribosomal RNA (862 nucleotides) under Asterodiscus mangrovei. RNAcentral describes it as "partial large subunit ribosomal RNA". It matches the Rfam family "Eukaryotic large subunit ribosomal RNA", at positions 65 to 938 of the family's 3401-position model. Lineage: Eukaryota; Fungi; Ascomycota; Dothideomycetes; Stigmatodiscales; Stigmatodiscaceae. The record is from RNAcentral.
CCAACCGGGAUUGCCCCAGUAACGGCGAGUGAAGCGGCAAGAGCUCAGAUUUGAAAUCUGGCCCCCCCGGGGGCCCGAGUUGUAAUCUGGAGAGGAUGCUUCGGCGUUGGCGCCGCCCCAGGUUCCCUGGAAAGGGACGCCGCAGAGGGUGAGAGCCCCGUACUCGGGCGGACGCCUCGGCCGUGUGAAGCUCCCUCGGCGAGUCGAGUUGCUUGGGAAUGCAGCUCAAAUUGGGAGGUAAAUUCCUUCUAAAGCUAAAUACCGGCCGGAGACCGAUAGCGCACAAGUAGAGUGAUCGAAAGAUGAAAAGCACUUUGGAAAGAGAGUGAAAAAGCACGUGAAAUUGUUGAAAGGGAAGCGCUUGCAGCCAGACGUGCGCGCCGUCGCUCGGCGGGGCCUCGCGCCCCGCCUACGCCCCGGCGUGCAGGCCAGCGUCAGCUCGGGCGGCCGUAGAAGCGUGCGGGAACGUAGCACCCUCCGGGGUGUGUUAUAGCCCGCGCCGGAUGCGGCCCGCCCGGGCCGAGGGUCCCGCGCUUUUCGCGAGGACGCUGGCGUAAUGGUGGUAAGCGGCCCGUCUUGAAACACGGACCAAGGAGUCUUACAUCCGCGCGAGUGUUCGGGCUUCGAACCCCGGGCGCGCAAUGAAAGUGAAUGGAGGUGGGAACCCCCCCGCGGGGUGCACCAUCGACCGAUCCAGAUGUCCUCGGACGGAUUUGAGUAUGAGCGCGGAUGCGGGGACCCGAAAGAUGGUGAACUAUGCCUAAGCAGGGCGAAGCCAGAGGAAACUCUGGUGGAGGCUCGCAGCGGUUCUGACGUGCAAAUCGAUCGUCAAAUUUGGGUAUAGGGGCGAAAGACCAAUCGA